GCUCCAGUGGCUUAAUGGUUAGAGCGUCCUCCUCGGAUGUUGGAGGUCGUGGGUUAGAUCCCCUGUCGAGUCA
Potamilus streckersoni is the source of this 73-nucleotide non-coding RNA. The record is from the annotation of a GenBank genome assembly. NCBI's taxonomy places the organism in Eukaryota, Metazoa, Mollusca, Bivalvia, Unionida, Unionidae.